CUACGGGACGCUCCAGUCGAGAAUAUUGGACAAUGGGCGAAAGCCUGAUCCAGCGACGCCGCGUGCGGGAUGACAGCCUUCGGGUUGUAAACCGCUUUUAUUGGGGAAUAAUCCCGAGAGCAAUCGAGGGAUGAAGGUACCCGAUGAAUAAGGGGGUGCUAAUUCUGUGCCAGCAGCCGCGGUAAAACAGAACCCCCAAGCGUUAAUCGGAAUUACUGGGCGUAAAGCGCGCGUAGGCGGCUAGAUCAGUCGGGUGUGAAAGCCCCGGGCUUAACCUGGGAACUGCAUCCGAUACUGUCUAGCUUGAGUACAGGAGAGGAGAGUGGAAUUCCACAUGUAGCGGUGAAAUGCGUAGAUAUGUGGAGGAACACCAAUGGCGAAGGCAGCUCUCUGGCCUGAUACUGACGCUGAGGUGCGAAAGCGUGGGGAGCAAACAGGAUUAGAUACCCCAGUAGUC
This 457-nucleotide ribosomal RNA is filed under the name uncultured bacterium. RNAcentral describes it as "partial 16S ribosomal RNA". It matches the Rfam family "Bacterial small subunit ribosomal RNA", at positions 339 to 795 of the family's 1533-position model. The record is from RNAcentral.